RNAcentral lists this ribosomal RNA (505 nucleotides) under uncultured bacterium. RNAcentral describes it as "partial 16S ribosomal RNA". It matches the Rfam family "Bacterial small subunit ribosomal RNA", at positions 28 to 507 of the family's 1533-position model. The record is from RNAcentral.
GACGAACGCUGGCGGCGUGCCUAGUACAUGCAAGUAGAACGCACAGUUUAUACCGUAGCUUGCUACACCAUAGACUGUGAGUUGCGAACGGGUGAGUAACGCGUAGGUAACCUGCCUGGUAGCGGGGGAUAACUAUUGGAAACGAUAGCUAAUACCGCAUAAUAUUGAUUAUUGCAUGAUAAUUGAUUGAAAGAUGCUAUUGCAUCACUACCAGAUGGACCUGCGUUGUAUUAGCUAGUAGGUGAGGUAACGGCUCACCUAGGCGACGAUACAUAGCCGACCUGAGAGGGUGAUCGGCCACACUGGGACUGAGACACGGCCCAGACUCCUACGGGAGGCAGCAGUAGGGAAUCUUCGGCAAUGGACGAAAGUCUGACCGAGCAACGCCGCGUGAGUGAAGAAGGUUUUCGGAUCGUAAAGCUCUGUUGUAAGAGAAGAACGGGUGUGAGGGUGGAAAGUUCACACUGUGACGGUAUCUUACCAGAAAGGGACGGCUAACUACGUG